CUAUGCCACUCUCGCUACUAUGCCACUUUUGCUCGGUCCCGGUAGGUGGCAUAGUAGCGAGAUUUGACUGUACUAGCAACUAAACUUUGCAAUCUAUUUAUAUACCUUUCCGUACAGUACAGCAAUUAGCCCCUGAUGCACCAGCCCAGCCUGCAUAAGCUUUCAGAUUUUGAAGGGCCCCGAUCGGGGGGACGGGUGAAAGUAAGGGCUACGGGCUAUCCCGCUCCUAACUGACCGAACGCCCAUAGGGCGUAGCCGUUACGCGCUGACAGUGACCCGUAUGUCGGACUUUUCACUCCGCCCUCUGACCUCGCUCCCGCAUUUGCUGACCAGCUGUCGGACUCCACACUCGCCGCCCGAUGGGCUUCUACCUGCAACAACCGCUUUGGUCAUCGCACUCUCGGAAAUGCUGAAGAUCGGGGAUCGUGCUUAGUCAAAGCAUUGUAAUAAUGCCGACUACAAAACAGUCAACAGAUAACUCCACAGCGUGGCUGAAGAUGAGCCAAGCUGAAUGUAUAGUGAUAUUCAAGAUCCUGGAAGGGUUGUAAGAAAAUCAACUGACAUGGUAUAUGACGAGACUGGUUAUUCCCAAUCUGGAAUGAGUGGAAUUAUAAAAGAAGAACUAAAAUAUUUCAUCACUCUGCAUAUGAAACAGGAUUAUUGCUGUACCACAGCAGCCUGGGGAUAUUAUAUCUGCCACUGCUUACAAAUAGUUUGGAAGUAACUGGCAAGAAUGGAGGAACAAGUCCAAGGACAAAGCCAUCUGAUGAUGGGUCAUGCUGUUGAGGAGCACAGAGAAAUGUUUCGAAGCUUGCUCCACAUAUGAAUCAAGUUACGAAAUGUAGGUGAACAAGGAAUGACUCCAGCAGCAAUCCCAUGUUUCAGGUGAGAAAUUUGAUAGGCUGGAAGAGGAAUCUGUGUGUAGAGAAUUUAGGGGGGAAAGUGGCUGUUGUGAAAUCUAAUUAAAGCUUUUUUCGCAACAACUAGCCUGAAGACUUUGAAGACUCAAAUUCUUUGUUGUAAAUAAAUGUUAAAACCAU
This 1040-nucleotide long non-coding RNA is filed under the name Pomacea canaliculata. RNAcentral's name for it is "uncharacterized LOC112570557, transcript variant X2". The record is from RNAcentral. Lineage: Eukaryota; Metazoa; Mollusca; Gastropoda; Architaenioglossa; Ampullariidae.